ACUCCACUCAGGCGUUAUGAUUCCGGGUUUGCCUUUCUCGCUCCAGAUUCAAAUAACGGGUAACUGCAUAUUUGGAGCAAAUAUUUUUGUAUAAUUAACCCAAUAUAGAGCCCGUCGUUUCCAAUUGGAUCAAGUUAGUCAUAGAACAAGGAGGUGGGCAGAGUCAAGCACGAGAUAGUGAGAUCCUAUUUGCGCGUUCGAUACUUUAUUUGAAUUCUUCCGUUAGGGAAAGCCUGCCUUGAUGUGCAAUAACUAAAUUCUGCCUGGCAGUCCUUCUAAACGCAUUUUUUAUAUCCCCGGUGUCUGUGACAUAUACAGUUAGGUGAGACGUAGAUCAGGUGGAGAGUGUGGGGAAACAGAAGACUUUGUCUGUCAUGCUGAGUGUUUAUGUAGAGUCUUUGCCAGAUAAGGUCAGGGUAGGAAGUGUCAGUUAUACAGUGAGAGCUUUUGUUUCCCGAAAAUAGUAGGGUUUUAGGUGUCAAGUUUAUGGGCAUGUUGCAGCAGUGUGUAGGAGGGAGAUGCCUAGAUGUGAAAAGUGUGUAGGAGGGCAUAAGAUGAUGUAAUGUGUGGUAUCGGUGGGAAAAGUUAUGGAUGUUAGUUGUGGGGCUGCAGAUCGGAGGUGUCCGGUGAGAGAAAGGCAGGUUGAGGUUGCCAGGGUUAUGUAUUUAGCUUUUAUUUAACUAGGCGUAGAAGUCAGUGAAGAACAAAUUCUUAUUUACAAUAACGGCCUAGAGUAGUACAGAAAGUGUUGUAAUGCCAAAGCAGUGAAGAGAGUGGUAGUGCAAGAUGGGUACAGGGUGAGGGAUCCUGUGAGUAGGCAGAGACCAAGAGAGUGAUGGGAAGAAUAUGUGCUUCAGUAAAGGUGGGCUUUUUAGCAUUUAUAGCCAUGGUUGUCAAUUGUACUGCAGAAAUGGAUCAAAAGUCACAGAAAAUAGUGGUUGUGGUGGCAGCGGCAAAGAAGUACUUGGGAUUGCUAAGAUUUACUUCUUAACAGCUGCAGGGGGUAGUGUUAGUGGUGUUAUGUCCUCUCAGACUGUUGGUCUGGAGUAGGACUAGAUAUAAUUAAAUAGUGGAAUGGGGUGGUGUUGAAUUUGUUUUGAGAGGGUUAAUAGUUGAAUGGGGGAUUUUGUAUUACCAUAUAAAAACAAAAUUGUAGUUAUGCCGUGAAUGGCCUCACACACCAGUACAGUAGGUGGCGGUGUAUGCACCUAAAAGUUUGAUGCGAUCCGCCAACCAAAUCUCAAUGAAGAAUGUAACCGAUUAGGAGAAUUAACAUAGCAGGUUAGGAGAAUUAACGUGGCAGUUUAGGAGAAUGAGGUUACGGUUUGGAAAGGGGUUCAUCUUUGCUAAAAAUGUGGAGCAUGUUUGGAUAAUUAAUGUGGCAGGUUAGGAGAAUGAGCAUCAGGUUAGGAAAAGGCUUAGCUAAAAUGCUAUAGUUGUCAACAAUGUACUUGUCGUGCAGCCCAGACACAUAAAACAGUCUUGAGUGGCAACAAAUCUGCCCAAUUAGCUGAUUCUCUUUCCAUACACCCUCUUCUGUUGACACAUCCACUUUCAGACACACUCCAUGGUAGCGGUCCAAACACUUACAAGACACACAGUCCACUUAUCCUCGCCUUAUGCCCUUGAGGGAAUCCCCGUCACCAUCUUGGAGGGUGGUCCAAAUUAUUAGCCAAGCAAGGGAAGUUUACAACGUAAGCUCCUUGGCCCUCGUUUUUAGUCGGCUUGCGAGUGUACAAUUAUGUUCACUCUGGGGCCUGAAACUACCCAUAAUUCAAUUUGCGACGAUUGUACAUCCGCUAAGAAAAGUCAGAAAAAAUUAAAAACAACAUUAAAAUGAAUGCAAAUAAAUUACGAAUAGUGUUACUAAUGCACAUGACGUCUCAAACACGUCUCGAAAAAGUAAAUAUGUUUGUUUGGUUAUCUUUUGGAAAUUGUAGAAAUAAAACAUUUUCCAGAAUGCUAUCAUACAGUAGGCAUUUAUUAAUAAUGAUAUAUUUAAUAUAAGUAGACAUGCACUCAUAAUUGACUGUAGCGCAUAUAAAGCACCCACAAGCUACCGGUGUCUGAAAACACAAUAAUCUCGGGAUGAAUUUCCGGCCAAGGGUGGUCCAUUUAAAAAUCAUUCCUUCCUCCCUCGCCCCUUGCCCUGCAAGUGUAUACUCGUCAGACAUCAUGACACGUCAUCAUAAUUCUCCACUUAAUUUGAGGGCUGAGGGGAUAGGGUGUCUUUUAAGUGUUUGGACUGCAACUCAUGUAUGCAGCAGAUGACACAUGAUACUCCAGAUUGGACGUUUGCAUCUACUUACAUCUGCUUAUUUGUUUUGCAGUCAAUAUAAACAGUGCAAUCGUACUGGAGGCAACAGUGUUUACUUUGUUGUGGCUCGACUUCUCCUCCAGAGCUAUUAUCCAUAACACCUAAAUGCCAUAAUACACUUGCUAGCUCACUUAACUCCCCAAACAAAUAUGUCUAUUAAUAAUACUAGUAUUUAUAAUUUUAAUAGCAUUCAUAAAGGCUUUAUAAACACUACAUAAAUAGUUCACAAAUAGUCUAGAACCAUAUGCGGUACACAAAUUAUUUCUGAAUGUAGUGCUUGGUAGUGAUUGUACUUGGUUUAAUGUUGGACCGAAAAUUUACAUUUUGUAUUACCGUAACAAUACUUAUUUAAUCCCAACUAUUCAAGCACCUGUUGCCAAAUUGGAAUCAUCAUCCCAUAACUAACAUCUCCAUGUGAAGAGAGUAGCAAUAAAAAUAACUGAAAGUAAUAUAUAAAAUUUAAAAAAAAGUUUAGACAAAGGCUGCAGAGGUAGAUAGCCAAGAAUGGAAAAGCUGGCUGUAUUACGUGGAGGUGAUUGCACAAAAAAGUGAAGAAACUAAAAUCUUAUGAACUAGUCCAAUGUAAACAAAUUUGAUUUCAAUGAACACACAAAAGUACAUUACAAAUAUCUCUUUCACAAUCACCAUAAAAAAAUACCAAGCAGUGAGAUUUAUGUUCCAUGAAAAUAUUUAAAGGAUCAUGCAUGUCUGUAUUUUUUUUUUUACUUGAAAAAACCUGCAAUCUUACAAAGCUACAUUUAUCAAUGAAACACUCAAAGAUGUUGUUUAUAUGAGUCGGGUAGAAUACUACUCUUGCUGCGAUAUGUCGGAAGUGUACGCUUCGAACACACCGACUGUGUUAUUGCGUUUCGAUACACCAGAAGUACAUUCAUUUCCAAUGGAACGCUGCAUUUGCCUUGCAGCAUUGCGUUGCAGAGGCAGUUGCAGUGCGUUCUGUGUGGAGCAUACGUUCGAUUUAUCAGAAAGUAGCAAAAUAUGAAUGUAGAUUUUUUUUUUGCACACUUAGUCAGUAAAAAUGUGCGAUUACAUAAAAAGUUUGAUUGCAUCAUUUCUUCACAUUUUUUAUAAAUGUAUUUAUAUUAUUUAUUCGAUGACAUCCACAAAUGAAUUGUGAGAGCCUAUAAUAUAAUUUCCCUCCAAAAUGCAAUAAUAAAUAGUCAAGAUAGCAGAGUAGGCUCUUUCAAUAAUGAGACCAACGUUGAGGAAGGUGGUCUUGAUCGCACUGUUGGGCCGGGACCAGCCCCGCCGAAAGCGCAGGUCUGUGUGGGUCCAGAGAUGGUUAAAGUCCCGAAAGCAGGCAGGGGAGUUCCACUGUCUAAUUCAAGAGCUUCGACUGUUUUGAGAGGAAUUCCGAAGUUACUUUCGUCUGGACCGAAGCCAGUUCGAUCACCUGCUCCAGAUGGUUGGAGCCAGGAUCACCCGGAUGGAUAACAACUACCGGGAGUCCAUCAGCCCAGUUGAACACCUGGCGAUUUGUCUCCGAUUCUUGGCGACAGGGGACUCCUACAGGACCAUAGGAUUCAGCUUCCGAGUUGGACGGUCCACGGUGGCAGGCAUUGUCCCCUCUGUGGCACAAGCCAUUUGGGACUGUCUGGUUGGUGAAAACAUGCCUGUCCCCAAGGAGGAAGACUGGAGGGCCAUCGCUGCUGAGUUUCUGGAGAGGUGGAAUUUCCCCAAUUGUCUUGGCUCCAUUGACGGGAAACAUGUAGUAAUCCAGGCUCCACCGUGCUCAGGUUCGCAGUUCUACAACUACAAGGGUACAUAUUCAGUUGUACUCUUGGCUGUAGUAGAUGCCAUCUACUGUUUCCGUGUUGUCGAUGUUGGUGCUUACGGCAAGGGAAGUGAUGGCGUGACCCUCCGAGACUGCCUUUGGCCAGGCACUUCAGGAUGGCACCCUGGAUAUUCCACCACCUGCAUCACUCCCUGGGGCUGAAGACCUGGGACCUGUUCCCCACGUCUUCGUUGGCGAUGAGGCCCUACGCUGGAUGUUUUUACUUUCAUCUUGUCUUAGAUCAGCAAAGGUGUAGGGAAGAAAUAAGCAGAUUAAGUCUAAAUUAGACAUUAAUAAACAACUGAAAAUGAAAACAUUAUAAUUUAAUAACUAUUCAAGUACAGGAAAGAACAUGACAGGUAUGUGUGUUGUAAAAAUGUUUUAAAAAAUAAAACUAUUGAAAGAG
Molecule: long non-coding RNA, 4515 nt
Organism: Oncorhynchus nerka (sockeye salmon)
Lineage: Eukaryota; Metazoa; Chordata; Actinopteri; Salmoniformes; Salmonidae
Exons: 2
Source: RefSeq, a predicted model, not a curated record